AACAGGAUUAGAUACCCUGGUAGUCCAUGCCGUAAACGAUGUCGACUUGGAGGUUGUUCCCUUGAGGAGUGGCUUCCGGAGCUAACGCGUUAAGUCGACCGCCUGGGAGUACGGCCGCAAGGUUAAAACUCAAAUGAAUUGACGGGGGCCCGCACAAGCGGUGGAGCAUGUGGUUUAAUUCGAUGCAACGCGAAGAACCUUACCUACUCUUGACAUCCAGAGAACUUAGCAGAGAUGCUUUGGUGCCUUCGGGAACUCUGAGACAGGUGCUGCAUGGCUGUCGUCAGCUCGUGUUGUGAAAUGUUGGGUUAAGUCCCGCAACGAGCGCAACCCUUAUCCUUUGUUGCCAGCGGUUAGGCCGGGAACUCAAAGGAGACUGCCAGUGAUAAACUGGAGGAAGGUGGGGAUGACGUCAAGUCAUCAUGGCCCUUACGACCAGGGCUACACACGUGCUACAAUGGCGCAUACAAAGAGAAGCGAUCUCGCGAGAGCCAGCGGACCUCAUAAAGUGCGUCGUAGUCCGGAUUGGAGUCUGCAACUCGACUCCAUGAAGUCGGAAUCGCUAGUAAUCGUGAAUCAGAAUGUCACGGUGAAUACGUUCCCGGGCCUUGUACACACCGCCCGUCACACCAUGGGAGUGGGUUGCAAAAGAAGUAGGUAGCUUAACCUUCGGGAGGGCGCUUACCACUUUGUGAUUCAUGACUGGGGUGAAGUCGUAACAAGGUAACC
Molecule: ribosomal RNA, 729 nt
Filed under: uncultured bacterium
Lineage: Bacteria
Description: bacterial SSU rRNA
Rfam family: Bacterial small subunit ribosomal RNA
Source: RNAcentral